UCCUGUAGCAUGUGCUCCCCCGACCGUCCCCUCCAUUCCUUCUCUACCACAGAGCUCGGCUGUGCGAACUCUGAAGUAGAGGGGAGGAGGGUGGGUAGUGGAGCACCCACAGGGACACACAUCUCGAAGAAUCAUCAUUACUGCACAAGAAACCAGGGAAGAGGAUCAGCACUGCCCCGAAUCCAGUCUUCAGCCGAGGACGGUUGAGAAGGAACUGAGGAGGGUGCGGGACCCACGCGCUCAGGAAGAUUCCAGCGAGACGGGAGAUAUCAGCUGAGUGCGUGCGUCCUGACCAGGCACUACUACCGAAGAUCUCCGAUCAACGGCGCCGGGACGCACCAUCACCUAGAGUGGAGCACCCACAGGGACAGCACUGGAAGAAGAAACUAAAAAGUAUCAAAGAGAGCACUGCUGCGGAGCUCCGUCUGCAGCCAAGGAUGAUGGUCGGGGGAGCACAUGCUACAGGAGGUGCCAACGGCUGCACGAGACAACUCCUGUGCACGCCCUUCCCCCGACCGAGUACUGCUGCGAGAAAUCUCCAAUCUCCGGCGCAGGGACGCACCGACACCUAGAGAGGAGCACCCACAGGGACACCACUCGAAUAAGCAAGCAUUUGCUUGACUGCUUUUUGGGGAAGACAGCUAUAAAAGUAUGACCUGGGAAUGAUCCUUUAUCUCUGGACUGAUGAAUUCUGACAGGGUGGAAUUCUGAGGUAUUGGACUGAGAUCCAUAGAGCCAUUCUAGGUGACCCUGACAGACUACUGGACACCAGCAAAUUACCACACCUCUGCUAUCACAUUGGACUUACAAACUUUGAUUCACCUGUAAUGUAUUUUACCUGCUUUGACCUCUCUCAAUAACUCUUAUUUUUUUCUUCACUAAUAAAGCUUUAGUUUACUAAA
Chelonia mydas (Green sea turtle) is the source of this 902-nucleotide long non-coding RNA. RefSeq lists it as uncharacterized. The record is from RefSeq and is a predicted model, not a curated record. NCBI's taxonomy places the organism in Eukaryota, Metazoa, Chordata, Testudines, Cheloniidae. The transcript has 3 exons.